CAAGUCGAACGGUGAAGCCUUUCGGGGUGGAUCAGUGGCGAACGGGUGAGUAACACGUGAGUAAUCUGCCUCUGACUCUGGGAUAACCACGGGAAACGGUGGCUAAUACCGGAUAUGACACAUGGUCGCAUGGUCUGUGUGUGGAAAGUUUUUCGGUCAGAGAUGAGCUCGCGGCCUAUCAGCUUGUUGGUGGGGUAAUGGCCUACCAAGGCGACGACGGGUAGCCGGCCUGAGAGGGCGACCGGCCACACUGGGACUGAGACACGGCCCAGACUCCUACGGGAGGCAGCAGUGGGGAAUAUUGCGCAAUGGGCGAAAGCCUGACGCAGCGACGCCGCGUGAGGGAUGAAGGCCUUCGGGUCGUAAACCUCUUUCAGCAGGGAAGAAGCGCAAGUGACGGUACCUGCAGAAGAAGCACCGGCUAACUACGUGCCAGCAGCCGCGGUAAUACGUAGGGUGCAAGCGUUGUCCGGAAUUAUUGGGCGUAAAGAGCUCGUAGGCGGUCUGUCGCGUCUGCUGUGAAAACCUAGGGCUUAACUCUGGGCGUGCAGUGGGUACGGGCAGGCUAGAGUGCGGUAGGGGAGACUGGAAUUCCUGGUGUAGCGGUGAAAUGCGCAGAUAUCAGGAGGAACACCGGUGGCGAAGGCGGGUCUCUGGGCCGUAACUGACGCUGAGGAGCGAAAGCAUGGGGAGCGAACAGG
Molecule: ribosomal RNA, 701 nt
Filed under: Kineosporia sp.
Lineage: Bacteria; Bacillati; Actinomycetota; Actinomycetes; Kineosporiales; Kineosporiaceae
Description: bacterial SSU rRNA
Rfam family: Bacterial small subunit ribosomal RNA
Source: RNAcentral